AACAUGAAAUCGUGUCAGGCAGGGUCACUUUGCUUGAAGCUAAAAAUAAGGUGACUCGUUCUUUACCAGCCCGCCGGUUGGCGUGUACGGAACUAAAUUAAACAGCCAGGCUAAGUAUGUAGAACUGUCUGUAGAGUGCUUGCGGACGCGGGUUCAAUUCCCGCCGUCUCCACCA
RNAcentral lists this transfer-messenger RNA (175 nucleotides) under Gallionella sp. RNAcentral describes it as "partial transfer-messenger RNA". It matches the Rfam family "transfer-messenger RNA", at positions 186 to 374 of the family's 374-position model. From Rfam's summary of the family: Bacterial tmRNA, also known as 10Sa RNA or SsrA, is named for its dual tRNA and mRNA-like properties. Its role is to liberate the mRNA from a stalled ribosome. The record is from RNAcentral. Lineage: Bacteria; Pseudomonadati; Pseudomonadota; Betaproteobacteria; Nitrosomonadales; Gallionellaceae.